RNAcentral lists this ribosomal RNA (463 nucleotides) under uncultured bacterium. RNAcentral describes it as "partial 16S ribosomal RNA". It matches the Rfam family "Bacterial small subunit ribosomal RNA", at positions 28 to 507 of the family's 1533-position model. The record is from RNAcentral.
GAUGAACGCUGACAGAAUGCUUAACACAUGCAAGUCUUUGGCGAAGCUGUGCUCGCACAGCCUAGCCAAGGCGGACGGGUGAGUAACGCGUAAGGAACUUGCCCUGCAGUCAGGGAUAACAGACGGAAACGACUGAUAAGACCUGGUAAAGUCAGGCGGACUCAUGUCCAGCCUGAUGAAAAGAGAUGCUGCAGGAGAGCCUUGCGUCCUAUUAGCUUGUUGGUGGGGUAACGGCCCACCAAGGCGAUGAUAGGUAGCCGGCCUGAGAGGGUGGACGGCCACAAGGGGACUGAGAUACGGCCCUUACUACUACGGGAGGCAGCAGUGGGGAAUAUUGGACAAUGGGGGCAACCCUGAUCCAGCAAUUCUGUGUGCACGAUGAAGGUUUUCGGAUUGUAAAGUGCUUUCAGCAGGGAAGAAAAAAAUGACGGUACCUGCAGAAGAAGCGACGGCUAAAUACGUG